UAUUUCAAGCUUUUUCUAACUUACUCAAACAAUCAUAAGCAUUUCAGCAAAUCCCUCUCCUUAUAAAUAACUCCAAGCCAAACCCCUGCAAUGUCCAAACAGAGGUAAGAAAGCAUGGAAGCAAACAGAGCUAGUGUCUUAGUUUUACUCCUUGUGUGUGGCAUAUUUCUAUUGGAGUACAGCACAGCCGAAGCUUGCCCUCUGUAUUGUUUGGAAGCAGACUACAUGAUAUGCGAGUCAUCAGGCAGUCAGAGGCUCAGUCCGGCAUGCAACUGUUGCUUGGCAGGGAAGGGUUGCACCAUUUACUUCAAUGAUGGAACCUCUGAAACCUGCUAAUGCUACAACAUUGCACCCUCCUUAUAUAUAUAUAUAUAAAUAAUAAGCCUACAAUCAAGUGUAGUUUGUCUCUUCAUAAUGGUGUGUUUUGCCAUCAUUCUCCAAAACACUAUGUUACAAGAAUCUUAGUUCAAAACAAAACAUAAAUGUGUACUAAAAUACCAAGUGUACUCUCUCUUUUGUAAUAAAAAAUAGUUGUACCUCUGUGCGACAAAUAUAUAUAGAUGUCUAUGCAUCUUUCAUAUCCA
Camellia sinensis is the source of this 584-nucleotide non-coding RNA. The record is from RefSeq and is a predicted model, not a curated record. NCBI's taxonomy places the organism in Eukaryota, Viridiplantae, Streptophyta, Magnoliopsida, Ericales, Theaceae.